Molecule: ribosomal RNA, 873 nt
Filed under: uncultured Verrucomicrobiota bacterium
Lineage: Bacteria; Pseudomonadati; Verrucomicrobiota
Description: bacterial SSU rRNA
Rfam family: Bacterial small subunit ribosomal RNA
Source: RNAcentral
CAGCCGCGGUAAUACGGAGACUACAAGCGUUACUCGGAUUUACUGGGCGUAAAGGGUGCGUAGGCGGUCAGAUGUGUUAGGUGUGAAAGCCUGGGGCUUAACUCCAGAAUUGCGCCUAAAACUGUCUGACUCGAGGCUCGGAGAGGCAAGCGGAAUUCCUAGUGUAGCAGUGAAAUGCGUAGAUAUUAGGAGGAACACCGAAGGCGAAGGCAGCUUGCUGGACGAGAUCUGACGCUGAAGCACGAAAGCGUGGGGAGCAAAAGGGAUUAGAUACCCCUGUAGUCCACGCCGUAAACGUUGUACACUAGGUUUUGGACGAUUCGACCCGUUCAGGGCCCAAGCUAACGUGAUAAGUGUACCGCCUGAGGACUACGGCCGCAAGGCUAAAACUCAAAGGAAUUGACGGGGGCCCGCACAAGCGGUGGAGCAUGUGGCUUAAUUCGAUGCAACGCGAAGAACCUUACCUAGGUUUGACAUGCACUGGACAGGGUAUGAAAGUACCUCUCCCUUCGGGGCCGGUGCACAGGUGCUGCAUGGCUGUCGUCAGCUCGUGUCGUGAGAUGUUCGGUUAAGUCCGGUAACGAGCGCAACCCCCGUUCUUAGUUGCUAACGAGUAAUGUCGAGAACUCUAAGGAUACAAACUCAUUAUAUGAGUGGGAAGGUGGGGAUGAAGUCAAGUCAGUAUGGCCCUUACACCUAGGGCUGCACACGUGCUACAAUGCCUGGUACAAUGAGAAGCAAUACCGCGAGGUGGAGCAAAUCUAUAAAACCAGGCCCAGUUCAGAUUGGAGUCUGCAAUUCGACUCCAUGAAGCCGGAAUCGCUAGUAAUGGCGUAUCAGCUACGACGCCGUGAAUACGUUCUCGGGCCUUGU